RNAcentral lists this ribosomal RNA (1169 nucleotides) under Phyllorhiza punctata. RNAcentral's name for it is "eukaryotic LSU rRNA". It matches the Rfam family "Eukaryotic large subunit ribosomal RNA", at positions 121 to 946 of the family's 3401-position model. The record is from RNAcentral. Lineage: Eukaryota; Metazoa; Cnidaria; Scyphozoa; Rhizostomeae; Mastigiidae.
CUGUCACUAUCGUGAUGGCGAAUUGUAGUCUCGAGAAGCGUCUUCACGGUGGAUCCUGCCUGCCCAAGUUGCUUGGAACAGCACAUCGGAGAGGGUGACAAUCCCGUAUGUGGCAGGUGGGACUGCUCAUGAUGCGCUUUCCAUGAGUCGGGUUGCUUGGGAAUGCAGCCCAAAAUUGGUGGUAGACUCCAUCUAAAGCUGAAUACUGGCACGAGACCGAUAGCGAACAAGUACCGUGAGGGAAAGAUGAAAAGAACUUUGAAAAGAGAGUUAAAAAGUGCGUGAAACCGUUAGAGGGGAAGCGGAUGAAGUUAGCAAUGCUCCCGUGAGAUUCAGGUGUUCUAUCUGGUUAGACGUGUGGCCGGCGGAUCCGAAUGGACUGUCACCAUUCGACUUGACCAGGUACUCACCGCACUUCUCGCAGGGGUGCGUCAACAGCUGCUGGAUCAAAGAUGUCGUCGUCUGUCGCCUCGUGUGAUGGAUUGGCGCGCUCGCGAGCUACACGGCACCGUCUGUGGAAGGUAGGUGUUUGACCUCGGUCGGGCACUGUUAUAGCCACUGGUGUCCCAGCUCGUAUCUGGCAGAGGAGCCGGCUGACGACUGGCUUUCUAGUCGGCGGCGUUCAGUCGGUGCGGUGCGUGCUCUUCGCUUGUCGAGCGAGGGGCUGGCGUCCUGUCGCGUUCACAACUCCUAGUCGUCUGCGGUGCACUGCGUGCAGUUCGCUGCAGAUGGACAAAGAGGCGCCCAGUGCACGCACACCACGUGCCAAGGUUGUUGGCGGCCAUAUGGCUUCAUCCGACCCGUCUUGAAACACGGACCAAGGAGUCUAACAUGUGCGCAAGUCUUGGGGUGACCGAAACCCAAGGGCACAAUGAAAGUGAAGGUCGCUGCACUCGGCCCGCCCACCUUCCAGUGGCGCGUGCUGGCUGUACGGCUGAGGUGAGAUCGCCUCUGGACGUUCGGCGUCUGAUGGUGCGCAUCAUCGACCGACCUAUUCUACUCCUAGAAAGGUUUGAGUAAGAGCGUACAUGAUGGGACCCGAAAGAUGGUGAACUAUGCCUGAGUAGGGUGAAGCCAGAGGAAACUCUGGUGGAAGCUCGUAGCGAUUCUGACGUGCAAAUCGAUCGUCAAACUUGGGUAUAGGGGCGAAAGACUAAUCGAACCAUCUA